Long non-coding RNA from Hibiscus syriacus, 220 nucleotides. RefSeq lists it as uncharacterized. The transcript has 3 exons. Lineage: Eukaryota; Viridiplantae; Streptophyta; Magnoliopsida; Malvales; Malvaceae. The record is from RefSeq and is a predicted model, not a curated record.
UGGUAAACAUGAAGAUUCUUUAAUGCAUAGAGUGGCAGUUGCAGAAAUGUUGUAUGUCUUGGAUCCUACUAAGAAACUUGAAGAUGUUAAGUUAAUUGAAGAUUCGUCCAAUAAAGUUGUCUUAAACAAUGGAGCACUUGGAACAGUAAUGAGGUGGAAACUCAAGGACUGUAUUGCAGUCCAUAAGCUCUUAGACAAUGUUCUUACUGAUCAAGAUGCU